UACGUAGGCAGCGAGCGUUGUUCGGAGUUACUGGGCGUAAAGGGUGCGUAGGCGGUUGUUUAAGUUUGGUGUGAAAUCUCCCGGCUCAACUGGGAGAGUGCGCCGAAUACUGAAUGACUAGAGUGCGGGAGAGGAGAGUGGAAUUCCUGGUGUAGCGGUGAAAUGCGUAGAUAUCAGGAGGAACACCGGUGGUGUAGACGGCUCUCUGGACCGUAACUGACGCUGAGGCACGAAAGCGUGGGUAGCAAACAGG
Molecule: ribosomal RNA, 253 nt
Filed under: uncultured bacterium
Lineage: Bacteria
Description: partial 16S ribosomal RNA
Rfam family: Bacterial small subunit ribosomal RNA
Source: RNAcentral